ACACUGGAGCAGGAAGUCGGCCUGUGGCCGGCCAUGUUCAUGAGGGCGCGUCCCUUGGCACCCCUGUAGCCGCUAUGUUUCCCACGCCCGUGGCAGGCCUGAGAGAUUAUGUUUGCGGGGGGUGCUUUUUUUGUAGCUUCUGUGUUCGCCAUAUUUGAAAGGGGCAGACGGCCAUGUUCGUGAACGGCGCUUCCCUUGGUGCACCUGUGGCCGCCAUGUUUGAGCGAGGACCCCGUGGCAGGCCAGGACCGUUUCUCCGGUGCUAUCCCAGAGCAUGGCGCAUCCACUCAUUCACUCAAGGGAAAGGCCUGAAAGUAAAAUUGUAUCAACAUUAGGUUUGGCUAAUGUUGCCAUUAGGCAAACCUAAUUUUAAUGAAGCCAGGAGGUUCUCGUUUUGGGCCUUGACUGGACAGGUUUGAGCUAGAAACCACUUGAAGUAUUGAUCAUCCAUCUGAUCAUCAAGUUUUUUUUUUUUUUUGAGUUGGAGUCUCACUCUGUUGCUCACGCUGGAGUGCAGUGGCACGAUCUCAGCUCCCUGCAACCUCCACCUCCCGGGUUCUCCUGCCUCAGCCUUCCAAGUAGCUGGGAUUAUAAGCGUGUGCCACCAUGCCUGGCUACUUUUUUAUAUUUUCGGUUGAGAUGGGGUUUCACCGCGUGGCCAGGCUGGUCUCAAACUCCUGACCUCAAGUGAUCCGCCUGCCUCGGCCUCCCAAAGUGCUGGGAUUACAGGCGUGAGCCGCCACUCCCAGCUUGUUCAUCCAGUUUUUAUUGAGCAUCUAUUAUGUGCCGAUAUUGAGGUAGACUCUGGGAGUCACAGCAGUGAAUGCAGCUGCCUGGAUGCCUCGUGAGGGCCGGAGCCUCACUGGGGAGAUGGACAUGAACAGCAAAUGCACAGCGAGGAAAGCCAGGGGUCUGUGCGGGGAUGCUGCAGGACACGAGAACCAGCCAAGACCUAUGGCCCCUGCAGCCACCGAGGGCUCGAGAGCGCCCCUGUGGACUUGGCUGGGCCCUUCAUGGUGACAUCCAGGAAUGCGGCUGAGCGCGGGUGUUGACCUCGCUGUUUGCUGGAAUGUUUGGGUUCUUGGACCAUGUCAGUGACGGCUGUGUCACCAUGGCCUUGCUAUCCCCAGGAAAACCUAACAUGCACCCCGCGCCUGUCCUCUGGGACUCCCAUCCUCCUCCUUUGUCUGACCCCUGAGAGGCUUACCGUUUCCCCAGGGCAGCCCCGGCUGUGGCCCUCGGCCCUGCUCCAGGCGGCCAUGUCAGUGUCCUCCCUCGGCGCUCCCAACACCCUACCUGGCUCUGCGAUGGCCACCCUGGACUCCUAAACACCCCAGAAAGGGAAGAGAUUUAAGAGGAACCUUGAUUCCUGCCAUUCUGCGCAGUCGUGGGUCCCUCCUCCACCUGGGGCCCUCAAGGGGAUUUCUGUCCGCACUCCCAGCCAGCGACCCCUCCCAGUUCCUGCAGCUGGAGCGGCCCUCUCUCCUGAACAUUCGGGCACCUGCGUCUGUCACUGCAGCCAGAGGGCUGGAGUGUCUUCGGUCAACUCGCCAUCCCUGCCACGGCUGGAGGCCACAUGUCCCAGAACCUACCUUGCUGGGAUGGGGGUUGGGGUGGCAGAGGCUGAACGCGUGUGAGGUUUGGGGGAGGACAAGCGGAGCGGGGAUGUGUGGGAGGUCCUGGUGUCCACCGUGAGGAUGGUCACACCCCAUAGCUUUGUUGAUGCUGUGGCUGUAGCAGGCCCAGUGGCUCCGCUGAGCCUCCCUAGCACCAGUGCCCAGUGAAGUGUGGGGGGCUGGACAUAGGUGGCCUCAGUUCCUGGGACUCCCCCAAAGCUCUGGUUUCCCCCCUGCUCCCAGGCUUCAGGUGGACGAGUUAGUGACCACCCCCACUCCAGACCUCCCUCCCCUAGCCACCCCCACAGUUAUAAAAACCUUCAUUCUCAUAUGGAAAAAAAAAAAAAAA
RNAcentral lists this long non-coding RNA (1965 nucleotides) under Homo sapiens (human). RNAcentral describes it as "long independently transcribed non-coding RNA 1134 (LINC01134)". The record is from RNAcentral. Lineage: Eukaryota; Metazoa; Chordata; Mammalia; Primates; Hominidae.